RNAcentral lists this ribosomal RNA (633 nucleotides) under uncultured bacterium. RNAcentral's name for it is "bacterial SSU rRNA". It matches the Rfam family "Bacterial small subunit ribosomal RNA", at positions 391 to 1023 of the family's 1533-position model. The record is from RNAcentral.
UCUAUGCCGCGUGAAGGAUUAAGGUCCUCUGGAUUGUAAACUUCUUUUAUCUGGGACGAAAAAAGAUCUUUCUAGAUCACUUGACGGUACCAAAUGAAUAAGCACCGGCUAACUCCGUGCCAGCAGCCGCGGUAAUACGGAGGGUGCAAGCGUUAUCCGGAUUCACUGGGUUUAAAGGGUGCGUAGGCGGGCAGGUAAGUCAGUGGUGAAAUCCUGGAGCUCAACUCCAGAACUGCCAUUGAUACUAUCUGUCUUGAAUAUUGUGGAGGUAAGCGGAAUAUGUCAUGUAGCGGUGAAAUGCUUAGAUAUGACAUAGAACACCCAUUGCGAAGGCAGCUUACUACGCAUAUAUUGACGCUGAGGCACGAAAGCGUGGGGAUCAAACAGGAUUAGAUACCCUGGUAGUCCACGCCCUAAACGAUGGAUACUCGACAUACGCGAUACACUGUGUGUGUCUGAGCGAAAGCAUUAAGUAUCCCACCUGGGAAGUACGUUCGCAAGAAUGAAACUCAAAGGAAUUGGCGGGGGUCCGCACAAGCGGAGGAGUAUGUGGUUUAAUUCGAUGAUACGCGAGGAACCUUACCUGGGCUAGAAUGCUGGGAGACCGUGGGUGAAAGCUCACUUUGUAGCAAU